This 571-nucleotide long non-coding RNA is filed under the name Crocodylus porosus (Australian saltwater crocodile). Its description in RNAcentral is "lncRNA (ENSCPRG00005001437.1)". Lineage: Eukaryota; Metazoa; Chordata; Crocodylia; Crocodylidae. The record is from RNAcentral.
GGAGGGAUAAUCCAUUUCAUAUUUAGUGGUAUAAUGUGUAACGCACAUGUCUCAAUGUGCCACUAUAGGACUUACUGCACAUAAACAUUUCUUAAGGAAGAUACCCCUGAAGAGGGAUGUGUUAGACCCCGACUCCAUGCGGCACCCAACAACUUAGGAGACGACGAUCCAGUUGCUUAUGGAUCCUGUUACUCAUUAGCCAGAGGUCCCCAAAAGGGGCACAAGACUGUGGUCACUGCUUAUAAUGGUUCAGCCUUUGAAGAAGCAGACUGCUAUGAAGGUUUCAGUGGGAGCAGAGAGACAGGGACAAAAAAAAUGGAUGGUUGCCCGUUCUUGACAGGUAUAGAUUCAAGAUCAUCUUUCUUCUUCUAUAAAAUGCACAGUGGGUGAGUGCAGAGGAGAGUAAGAGGCUAUAAAGAACACUUUCUGGUUAAAAACAAGACAAAUGAAAGCCACACCUCUCUCUCUUUUUCUUUCAUCAUGUCAUGAAGUUGCCUUACAUGAACCCUUUCAACCAGAAGGACUAGAUCACAAAGCACUAGCCUGGCCCCAGGCGAGACCGUGCAGCGCA